UUCUCGUUAGAUCACCGAAGUCAAGCAUCAUUGGACGCGGUCAGUAGGUGGGUGACCACCUGGGAACACCGCGUGC
This is a non-coding RNA of Caerostris extrusa, 76 nucleotides long. NCBI's taxonomy places the organism in Eukaryota, Metazoa, Arthropoda, Arachnida, Araneae, Araneidae. The record is from the annotation of a GenBank genome assembly.